This is a small nuclear RNA of Pygocentrus nattereri (red-bellied piranha), 119 nucleotides long. Its record names the gene U1. It matches the Rfam family "U1 spliceosomal RNA". From Rfam's summary of the family: U1 is a small nuclear RNA (snRNA) component of the spliceosome (involved in pre-mRNA splicing). Its 5' end forms complementary base pairs with the 5' splice junction, thus defining the 5' donor site of an intron. There are significant differences in sequence and secondary structure between metazoan and yeast U1 snRNAs, the latter being much longer (568 nucleotides as compared to 164 nucleotides in human). Lineage: Eukaryota; Metazoa; Chordata; Actinopteri; Characiformes; Serrasalmidae. The record is from Ensembl.
AAAAAUACUUGAUUGGCCGGGAUGAGGCUGGUUGUGCUGACGCUUGUGAAUUCCUCAAAUGCAGGAAUCUCGACUAUAUAAUUUCUGGUAGAGGGGGACUGCGUUUGCUCUCUCCCCUG